Long non-coding RNA from Eutrema salsugineum, 540 nucleotides. RefSeq lists it as uncharacterized. NCBI's taxonomy places the organism in Eukaryota, Viridiplantae, Streptophyta, Magnoliopsida, Brassicales, Brassicaceae. The record is from RefSeq and is a predicted model, not a curated record. The transcript is spliced from 3 exons.
GCAGUCCACAACUAUGUCCUUGGCGAUCUCAGCUGACUCACUUGGUCCUUCCAAGAUUACUUCAUCGUGAAUCUGUUAACACAAGAGUAGCCCAAAACAAUCAUUUAUAGAUAUGCAUAGCGCACAUGGCGACAUCAGCCGCACUUCCCUGUAGUAAUAGUAGUAACCGGGUAAACAGUCGAGAAACUACAGGACAGUUAAAGAUCUGAUGAUAGGGCAAACAAACCUGAACAGGAGAGUUGAUUGCUGCUCGUUUGAUAUGGUUCUUUUGGCCACAUGAACGGUAUGCAGAGAACUUACGAGCCCUUCCCAACAAAAAACCUGGAAAGUGGAAAUGGGCUUUUGUGAGCUUAUUAUCAGAAAUCAAGCAUAUUCAUAUCAAUUUUCAAGAGCUUAGCUAUUAGUACCUUCCAGUCUUUAGCAAGCCCAAUAGCAGUCUUCCCAUACGCAAUUGAAAAGUUGAGCAUCUUAGCUUUUCUUCUCUCAGAAGCAAAGGCGUCCUGAGUAAGAAAGAAAACAUUUUGCUACCGGUUCAAAAAA